Molecule: transfer RNA, 74 nt
Filed under: Candidatus Roizmanbacteria bacterium RIFOXYA1_FULL_41_12
Lineage: Bacteria; Candidatus Roizmaniibacteriota
Also listed under: 4 other names
Description: tRNA-Gln
Rfam family: tRNA
About the family: Transfer RNA (tRNA) molecules are approximately 80 nucleotides in length. Their secondary structure includes four short double-helical elements and three loops (D, anti-codon, and T loops).
Source: RNAcentral
UGGGGGAUCGUCUAAUGGUAGGACAGCGGCCUUUGGAGCCGUGAGUCGGGGUUCGAAUCCCUGUCCCCCAGCCA